Molecule: non-coding RNA, 135 nt
Organism: Triticum aestivum (bread wheat)
Lineage: Eukaryota; Viridiplantae; Streptophyta; Magnoliopsida; Poales; Poaceae
Source: Rfam
CAUGUACUCCCUCCGUCCGGAAAUAUUUGUCAUCAAAAUGGAUAAAAGGGGAUGUAUCUAAAUGUAUUUUAGUUCUUGAUACAUCUCUUUUUAUCCAUAUUGAUGACAAGUAUUUUCGGACGGAGAGAGUAUUAA